This 650-nucleotide ribosomal RNA is filed under the name uncultured bacterium. Its description in RNAcentral is "bacterial SSU rRNA". It matches the Rfam family "Bacterial small subunit ribosomal RNA", at positions 31 to 723 of the family's 1533-position model. The record is from RNAcentral.
UGACCUGNUCGGCUUACUUAACACAUGCAAGUCGCACGGGCAGGGCAACCUGUCAGUGGCGGACGGGUGAGUAACGCGUAGGAAUCUAUCCUUGGGUGGGGGACAACCGUGGGAAACUACGGCUAAUACCGCAUGAUCCCUGAGGGGCAAAGGCGAAAGUCGCCUGAGGAGGAGCCUGCGUCUGAUUAGGUAGUUGGUGGGGUAAAGGCCUACCAAGCCUGCGAUCAGUAGCUGGUCUGAGAGGAUGAUCAGCCACACUGGGACUGAGACACGGCCCAGACUCCUACGGGAGGCAGCAGUGGGGAAUAUUGGACAAUGGGCGAAAGCCUGAUCCAGCAAUGCCGCGUGGAUGAAGAAGGUCUUCGGAUUGUAAAGUCCUUUUGGCGGGGACGAUGAUGACGGUACCCGCAGAAUAAGCUCCGGCUAACUUCGUGCCAGCAGCCGCGGUAAUACGAAGGGGGCUAGCGUUGCUCGGAAUGACUGGGCGUAAAGGGCGCGUAGGCGGACGGCACAGUCAGGCGUGAAAUUCCUGGGCUCAACCUGGGGACUGCGUCUGAAACGUGUUGUCUUGAGUAUGGAAGAAGGUUGUGGAAUUUNCAGUGUAGAGGUGAAAUUCCUANAUAUUGGAAANAACACCGGUGGCGAANGCG